RNAcentral lists this ribosomal RNA (276 nucleotides) under uncultured Alphaproteobacteria bacterium. RNAcentral's name for it is "partial 16S ribosomal RNA". It matches the Rfam family "Bacterial small subunit ribosomal RNA", at positions 685 to 961 of the family's 1533-position model. The record is from RNAcentral. Lineage: Bacteria; Pseudomonadati; Pseudomonadota; Alphaproteobacteria.
AAUUCGUAGAUAUUCAGAGGAACACCAGUGGCGAAGGCGGCUUACUGGCUCGAUACUGACGAUGAGGUGCGAAAGUGUGGGGAGCAAACAGGAUUAGAUACCCUGGUAGUCCACACCGUAAACGAUGAAUGCCAGACGUCAGCAAGUAUACUUGAUGGUGUCACACCURACGGAUUAAGCAUUCCGMCUGAGGAGUACGGUCGCAAGAUUAAAACUCAAAGGAAUUGACGGGGGCCCGCACAAGCGGUGGAGCAUGUGGUAUAAUUCGAAGCAACG